This 1340-nucleotide ribosomal RNA is filed under the name Escherichia coli. RNAcentral describes it as "partial 23S ribosomal RNA". It matches the Rfam family "Bacterial large subunit ribosomal RNA", at positions 406 to 1746 of the family's 2925-position model. Lineage: Bacteria; Pseudomonadati; Pseudomonadota; Gammaproteobacteria; Enterobacterales; Enterobacteriaceae. The record is from RNAcentral.
CGAUGAGUAGGGCGGGACACGUGGUAUCCUGUCUGAAUAUGGGGGGACCAUCCUCCAAGGCUAAAUACUCCUGACUGACCGAUAGUGAACCAGUACCGUGAGGGAAAGGCGAAAAGAACCCCGGCGAGGGGAGUGAAAAAGAACCUGAAACCGUGUACGUACAAGCAGUGGGAGCACAGAGCAAUCUGUGUGACUGCGUACCUUUUGUAUAAUGGGUCAGCGACUUAUAUUCUGUAGCAAGGUUAACCGAAUAGGGGAGCCGAAGGGAAACCGAGUCUUAACUGGGCGUUAAGUUGCAGGGUAUAGACCCGAAACCCGGUGAUCUAGCCAUGGGCAGGUUGAAGGUUGGGUAACACUAACUGGAGGACCGAACCGACUAAUGUUGAAAAAUUAGCGGAUGACUUGUGGCUGGGGGUGAAAGGCCAAUCAAACCGGGAGAUAGCUGGUUCUCCCCGAAAGCUAUUUAGGUAGCGCCUCGUGAAUUCAUCUCCGGGGGUAGAGCACUGUUUCGGCAAGGGGGUCAUCCCGACUUACCAACCCGAUGCAAACUGCGAAUACCGGAGAAUGUUAUCACGGGAGACACACGGCGGGUGCUAACGUCCGUCGUGAAGAGGGAAACAACCCAGACCGCCAGCUAAGGUCCCAAAGUCAUGGUUAAGUGGGAAACGAUGUGGGAAGGCCCAGACAGCCAGGAUGUUGGCUUAGAAGCAGCCAUCAUUUAAAGAAAGCGUAAUAGCUCACUGGUCGAGUCGGCCUGCGCGGAAGAUGUAACGGGGCUAAACCAUGCACCGAAGCUGCGGCAGCGACGCUUAUGCGUUGUUGGGUAGGGGAGCGUUCUGUAAGCCUGCGAAGGUGUGCUGUGAGGCAUGCUGGAGGUAUCAGAAGUGCGAAUGCUGACAUAAGUAACGAUAAAGCGGGUGAAAAGCCCGCUCGCCGGAAGACCAAGGGUUCCUGUCCAACGUUAAUCGGGGCAGGGUGAGUCGACCCCUAAGGCGAGGCCGAAAGGCGUAGUCGAUGGGAAACAGGUUAAUAUUCCUGUACUUGGUGUUACUGCGAAGGGGGGACGGAGAAGGCUAUGUUGGCCGGGCGACGGUUGUCCCGGUUUAAGCGUGUAGGCUGGUUUUCCAGGCAAAUCCGGAAAAUCAAGGCUGAGGCGUGAUGACGAGGCACUACGGUGCUGAAGCAACAAAUGCCCUGCUUCCAGGAAAAGCCUCUAAGCAUCAGGUAACAUCAAAUCGUACCCCAAACCGACACAGGUGGUCAGGUAGAGAAUACCAAGGCGCUUGAGAGAACUCGGGUGAAGGAACUAGGCAAAAUGGUGCCGUAACUUCGGGAGAAGG